This is a long non-coding RNA of Helicoverpa zea (corn earworm), 1231 nucleotides long. RefSeq lists it as uncharacterized. The record is from RefSeq and is a predicted model, not a curated record. NCBI's taxonomy places the organism in Eukaryota, Metazoa, Arthropoda, Insecta, Lepidoptera, Noctuidae. The transcript has 3 exons.
UUUACAAUACAAGAUUAAAAAACAGACUUUAAAAGGGGAAAUCUUUGCCAAGAUUAAAACAAAAAGAAGGGUAAAUCUGAGUUGGCGUGUGGGAAAAGGAAAUCGUUUUAGUGGAAACACUGCCCACGGCUGACUUCACUCCCCCCUCUUCCCCUCAACAAUGGACGGUUCGGUCGGUUGUGGUCGGAGGUUGGAAAGUGGAAAAGAUCCUUGUGACUGUUAGAAUUUUACUUAAUAUCUUAUCUACAAUUUUCGAUAGCAAAUAUUAUAUCAGCACACCUCAAUCAUGGGGUUGUUGGGGGCGCGUGAGGGGUGUUCUGCCGCGUGCUCGCUGCCGGCGCAGAGAGCUGGCGGGCACACGCGUGCGAGUGCCGCGCCGAGCUGUGCGAGCGAGCUCCCGCUGAGUGACGUGGCGCGCGAUGCGUUUCUGACGGGUUGUGCUGCCGCGCGCUGCCUGCAGGCGAGCACUGCCCUGCUGCCUCGCUCCGAGUGACGAGUGCCUCGCGCCCUGUGCCUCGCUCCGAGUGCCUCGCGCCCUGUGCCUGGCUCCGAGUGCCUCGCGCCCCGUGCCUCGCUCCGAGUGCCUCGAGCCCUGUGCCUCGCGCCGUGUCUUCGCCUCGCGUGUCUCGCGGCGUAUUAUGUAUUUCCACCAGGAUUUCUUCUUCCAGUGAGACGCUACAUUACACUAUUAUAGCUAAGUGCUAAAUGAUUAUUAUUAACAAACUUGUUUUAUGAUGUUGCGGUUAAACAAUAUUGAGCACGUAUGACAAAAACUUAACAAAUGAGCUUAUUAUGUAGAAGGAUUGAUGUACCUAAACCUUUUGUAUGUUUAUCAACCUACAUUGUUUAAAUAAUGAUUGAUUUGCUUAUAACAAGUAAUGAGGCAGGAGAAGUCGGACGGUAAGGCGACCAGCUCGUAUGCGAGUAUCUCAAUUCUUACAGGAAACACUUUCACUUAUGUUUGCAAUACUCGCGGCCGUCCUGACAGUUGUCUACAUCGGAGAGUUUUGUGUCACCGCUAAUGUUGCACUUUGCGCAUGAUUUUUUCUUUUUAACAAUUUUCAAUCAUUUGCCAGUCGUUAGGGGCUACCAUUGUAAUCGUUAUAGGUUGUUGUGGCGCGGCUCCCGCUGGCCCCAUUUUCGUGUCAACGGUUCUGUUACAUGACGAACACGGGUAGACGCCUUCCUCCCGUCUCGAGAGAGACGGAGAUUGAGCGUUCGGGCUUAAAGA